This 71-nucleotide non-coding RNA is filed under the name Alexandrium minutum. Lineage: Eukaryota; Dinophyceae; Gonyaulacales; Pyrocystaceae. The record is from RNAcentral.
UUUUUUUUUUUUUUUUUUUUUUUUUUUUUUUUUUUUUUUUUUUGCUGUUUGUUCUUCUGAAGAAACGGUCA